UCAUCCUGCAGUUCCCUGGACGUGCAACCACGUCCUCUCUCCUGGUGAGUCACGACCUCCCACGCCCAGCACAGUGUAGAAAUAUUUGACUGAAACCCGAAUAAGAUCGGAAGAACAAGUUGAGCAGGUAAAACAUUUCCCUGCUGUCAAUUUCAUAAACUGCUCAACCUGGCUUCAAGAUGGAAGGAAGACAGAAGGAGGGUUUUUAGCAACACAAGGUUUUACAUAAUCCCACAGAAACUAAGGAUCUGCAAUAAGGCAGAUAUUUUGAAGAUGAGGUUCGUCAGGAUCUAGGACAGGACAGAAGAGACAAAUGUUCUGAAAAGGGAAAAACUAGAGGAGGUCUAAGGGGACGUUCAAACCUACAGCUGUGCCACAAUGAGUGUGUUAUGCAGUCUAGAAGGUCCCUUCCCUCAUGGCUGAUCACUCUGCUAAAGAAGAAGCUUCUGCCUCAUGCAGCAGCAAGAAUGUUAAACCAGAGGAAGAAAGUGAAACGACACAAUUGUCUCAUUUUUCAUCAGAGCUGUCACACUCAUCUAUAAUAAAAGGCCUUCCAGUCUAUUAUUACUUCAGGAGCACUAACACUUCUCAGAGGACCUCCCUACCCCAAGGAGUUUUUACUCGAUCUCCAAAGAAGAUAUAACAUUCUCAAAGAGUGAGUCAAUUUAUCGGGUGAGUGAAGGCAUAAAUUACUCAGCCAUCCAUCUUUACAUCUCAGAUCUGCAUAGUUCUGCAGAGAUUUGCGUAUUACACCAGGUUGCAUCUCAAGGCAAGCCCUGGGCUCGACAGAAAUUCUCAGGCUGAGGUUUACAAGCCAUGGGAGUUUUGCAUACUUCCAUGGCUUUUGGUAUAAGUUAUUGACCCUUGAUCAUGAUG
Long non-coding RNA from Mirounga angustirostris (Northern elephant seal), 876 nucleotides. RefSeq lists it as uncharacterized. The record is from RefSeq and is a predicted model, not a curated record. NCBI's taxonomy places the organism in Eukaryota, Metazoa, Chordata, Mammalia, Carnivora, Phocidae. The transcript is spliced from 4 exons.